RNAcentral lists this ribosomal RNA (439 nucleotides) under uncultured bacterium. Its description in RNAcentral is "partial 16S ribosomal RNA". It matches the Rfam family "Bacterial small subunit ribosomal RNA", at positions 338 to 795 of the family's 1533-position model. The record is from RNAcentral.
CCUACGGGUGGCAGCAGUGGGGAAUAUUGCACAAUGGGGGAAACCCUGAUGCAGCGACGCCGCGUGAGCGAUGAAGUAUUUCGGUAUGUAAAGCUCUAUCAGCAGGGAAGAAAAUGACGGUACCCGACUACGAAGCCCCGGCUAACUACGUGCCAGCAGCCGCGGUAAUACGUAGGGGGCCAGCGUUAUCCGGUUUUAUUGGGUUUAAAGGGUGCGCAGGCGGAAGAUCAAGUCAGAGGUAAAAUUGAGUGGCUCAACCUCUUGGAGCCGUUGAAACUGGGUUUCUUGAGUGAGCGAGAAGUAGGCGGAAUGCGUGGUGUAGCGGUGAAAUGCAUAGAUAUCACGCAGAACUCCGAUUGCGAAGGCAGCAUACUGGCGCUCAACUGACGCUGAUGCACGAAAGUGGGGGUAUCGAACAGGAUUAGAUACCCGAGUAGUC